AUUAAUUCUUGAAUAUGAUUUAAAUCUGGAUGUACGGGAAAUAAAAUUAACAGUGUAAUGCUUAUGAUACACUUUGACCUCUUUUGCAACAUGCGCGCCAUCUCUUGCCCUUUCUGAGACACCUGAAGCUUUUGCAUAAAAAAAGUAUCGAUAGUUUGUCUCGCAAGUUUCCGUGAGUGCCUCCAUGGAUCUCAUAACUGACCACAAAAAGUAUUUCAAAAAACCCCUAAUUGAACUAAUCCUAGAGGCUAGCCAAAUAUCCGCUACCUGCUUGUAUAACACAAUACAAGCAAAGGUAGAAUGAGAUCGAUAGCUUAGAAACGUUUAAGGCAAAAUGAGAUGGGGUUGUUCGAAAUUGCGUUCGACAAAAAUAGGUACGCAAUAGGGGGGGGUUUAUAAAAACUAAAUUUUCCGACCGACAUUUUAUUCUCGUGCGAUUCGUCAAGUUUUCUAAAUCGGUGAAAAUUUCAAAAUACCAGUUAGCCAAGUCAAUAGUGAUUUUGGGAAGACAAAAUUGUAAUAAUCAGUGAUCAAAAAAGUUAAAUUGAUUAUUGUACAAUCUUUGAUUAAGAUUAAGCCAGGACAGCCAUUUUGAAAAUCACUCUAAGUGUGGCUAAAAUACCAGAUCAAAAGGGUGAUUCCCGCUGGUCAUCGCGGGUGUUUAUCCGGAGUCGCCGACUUCUAGGAAAAUCAGUUCGUUGGCUCGAACCAGCCCUGCGACCGGACCACUCUCAUGCGAGCGCCCAUCAAUCGCGCAACAUCCGAAAGCUUUCCGCAACGUUUCUCGUCGCAGCAUCGGCAAGCUCAUCCCAUAAUUGUUGCCCAAAUCGUCUCACACCGAAACAUCGCACAAUCGGCAAGCGUUAGGCACAGAAGUUUGAAGAAGUGCCACCUGCGGGUGAGUAGCCGAAACUGUGUUUACACGCAUAGCAAGCAAACGAACGGUGGAAACGGUUGCGUGUGGAUAGUUGUGUUGCGGAUCGACCCCUGCAUGUGGAGUGUGGAAC
Aedes albopictus (Asian tiger mosquito) is the source of this 1007-nucleotide long non-coding RNA. RefSeq lists it as uncharacterized. The transcript is spliced from 3 exons. The record is from RefSeq and is a predicted model, not a curated record. Lineage: Eukaryota; Metazoa; Arthropoda; Insecta; Diptera; Culicidae.